RNAcentral lists this ribosomal RNA (253 nucleotides) under uncultured bacterium. RNAcentral's name for it is "partial 16S ribosomal RNA". It matches the Rfam family "Bacterial small subunit ribosomal RNA", at positions 524 to 776 of the family's 1533-position model. The record is from RNAcentral.
UACGUAGGGUGCGAGCGUUGUCCGGAAUCACUGGGCGUAAAGGGCGCGUAGGUGGCGCGGGCAGUCAACGGUGAAAGUUCGGGGCUCAACCCUGAAUCGGCCGUCGAUACUCCCGGGCUUGAGCACUGUAGAGGCAGAUGGAAUUCCGGGUGUAGCGGUGGAAUGCGUAGAGAUCCGGAAGAACACCGGUGGCGAAGGCGGUCUGCUGGGCAGUAGCUGACACUGAGGCGCGACAGCGUGGGGAGCAAACAGG